AGAGUUUGAUCCUGGCUCAGGAUGAACGCUAGCGGGAGGCUUAACACAUGCAAGUCGAGGGGUAACAUGAUGUAGCAAUACACUGAUGACGACCGGAGUACGGGUGAGUAACGCGUAUGCAACCUACCCUGUACUGGGGGAUAGCCCGGAGAAAUUCGGAUUAAUACCCCAUAAAGAUAUUGAGAGGCAUCUUUUGAUAUUUAAAGUUUCGACGGUACGGGAUGGGCAUGCGUAACAUUAGCUAGUUGGUAGGGUAACGGCCUACCAAGGCGACGAUGUUUAGGGGUCCUGAGAGGGUGAUCCCCCACACUGGUACUGAGACACGGACCAGACUCCUACGGGAGGCAGCAGUGAGGAAUAUUGGUCAAUGGGCGCAAGCCUGAACCAGCCAUCCCGCGUGCAGGAAGACGGCGCUAUGCGUUGUAAACUGCUUUUCCAGGGGAAGAAAAACCUCGACGUGUCGGGGCUUGCCGGUACCCUGGGAAUAAGCAUCGGCUAACUCCGUGCCAGCAGCCGCGGUAAUACGGAGGAUGCGAGCGUUAUCCGGAUUUAUUGGGUUUAAAGGGUGCGUAGGCGGAUUAAUAAGUCAGUGGUGAAAACCUGCAGCUUAACUGUAGAAUUGCCAUUGAUACUGUUAGUCUUGAGUACGGUCAAGGUAGGCGGAAUGUGUAAUGUAGCGGUGAAAUGCUUAGAUAUUACACAGAACACCGAUUGCGAAGGCAGCUUACUGGGCCAUUACUGACGCUGAUGCACGAAAGCGUGGGGAGCGAACAGGAUUAGAUACCCUGGUAGUCC
This 795-nucleotide ribosomal RNA is filed under the name uncultured bacterium. RNAcentral describes it as "bacterial SSU rRNA". It matches the Rfam family "Bacterial small subunit ribosomal RNA", at positions 8 to 796 of the family's 1533-position model. The record is from RNAcentral.